RNAcentral lists this transfer RNA (70 nucleotides) under Crossodactylus caramaschii. RNAcentral describes it as "tRNA-Val". It matches the Rfam family "tRNA". Rfam says of the family: Transfer RNA (tRNA) molecules are approximately 80 nucleotides in length. Their secondary structure includes four short double-helical elements and three loops (D, anti-codon, and T loops). The record is from RNAcentral. Lineage: Eukaryota; Metazoa; Chordata; Amphibia; Anura; Hylodidae.
CAAAGUAUAGCUUAACUUAAAGCACUUCGCUUACACCGAAAAUAUAUUUGUUAAAAUCAAAUUUCUUUGA